GAUGAACGCUGGCGGCGUGCCUAAUACAUGCAAGUCGAGCGAACAGACGAGGAGCUUGCUCCUCUGACGUUAGCGGCGGACGGGUGAGUAACACGUGGAUAACCUACCUAUAAGACUGGGAUAACUUCGGGAAACCGGAGCUAAUACCGGAUAAUAUAUUGAACCGCAUGGUUCAAUAGUGAAAGACGGUUUUGCUGUCACUUAUAGAUGGAUCCGCGCCGCAUUAGCUAGUUGGUAAGGUAACGGCUUACCAAGGCAACGAUGCGUAGCCGACCUGAGAGGGGGGCCGCCACAAGUGAACCGACGCCCGGGUCCAACCUCGGCGGGGAGGAGGAAGGGGGGAUUUUCCGGAAAGGGGGAAAGGCCGGAAGGGGCAACGCGGGGGGGGGAAGAAGGUUUUUGGAAUCAAAAAACUUUUUUAUGAGGAAAAAAAAAAUUGGAAAUAAAUAAUGCGCGUCUGAAGGUACCCUAACAGAAAGGCCAGGACAAACUACGGC
RNAcentral lists this ribosomal RNA (497 nucleotides) under uncultured bacterium. RNAcentral describes it as "partial 16S ribosomal RNA". It matches the Rfam family "Bacterial small subunit ribosomal RNA", at positions 28 to 508 of the family's 1533-position model. The record is from RNAcentral.